RNAcentral lists this ribosomal RNA (490 nucleotides) under uncultured bacterium. RNAcentral's name for it is "partial 16S ribosomal RNA". It matches the Rfam family "Bacterial small subunit ribosomal RNA", at positions 29 to 507 of the family's 1533-position model. The record is from RNAcentral.
AGCGAACGCUGGCGGCAGGCCUAACACAUGCAAGUCGAACGGCAGCACAAGAGAGCUUGCCCUCCGGGUGGCGAGUGGCGGACGGGUGAGGAAUGCAUCGGAAUCUGCCCAUUUGUGGGGGAUAUCCUCGGGAAACCGGGACUAAUACCGCAUACGACCUACGGGUGAAAGCAGGGGCUCUUCGUACCUUGCUCAGUUGGAUGAGCCGAUGCCGAGUUAUCUAGUUGGAGGGGUAAAGGCCCACCAAGGCGACGAACCGUAGCUGGUCUGAGAGGCACAUCAGACACACUGGGAGUGAGGAACGGCCCAGACACCUGCGGGGAGCCACGGUGGAGAAUAUUAGAGGAUGGACGAGUGGGUGAUCCAGCCAUACCGCGUGUGUGAAGAAGGACUUAGGGUUGUAGAGCAAUUAUGUUGGGAGAGAAGUAAAGCCGGUUAAUACCCGAUUGUAAUGACGGUACCCGAAGAAUAAGCACCGGCUAACUUCGUG